GUUUGACAAUGCACAGGAACAGCCGGCAGAGAUGUCAGGUUCACCUUGUGGCACUGUGUGCAUGGUGGUGCAUGGCAUGUCGUCAGCUCGUGUCGUGAGUAUGUUGGGUUAAGUCCACGCAACGAGCGCAACCCUUGUCUCAUGUUGCCAGCGCGUUAUGGCGGGGACUCGUGAGAGACUGCCAGGGGUCAACUCGGAGGANAGGUGGGGAUGACGUCAAGUCAUCAUGCCCACUUAUGUCCAGGGCUUCACACAUGCUACAAUGGCCAGGUACAAAGGGCUGCGAUGCCGUGAGGUGGAGCGAAUCCUUUCAAAGCCGUCUCAGUUCGAUCGGGGUCUGCAACUUUAACCGUGAGGGCGGAGUCGCUAGU
Molecule: ribosomal RNA, 371 nt
Filed under: uncultured bacterium
Lineage: Bacteria
Description: bacterial SSU rRNA
Rfam family: Bacterial small subunit ribosomal RNA
Source: RNAcentral